Bos taurus (domestic cattle) is the source of this 545-nucleotide long non-coding RNA. Lineage: Eukaryota; Metazoa; Chordata; Mammalia; Artiodactyla; Bovidae. The record is from Ensembl.
GUUGGGUAGAGUAGAGAGGGGUUAGGGAGGAGACACAGGCGACCUAGUGGAGAAAAAGGAGAGUCCAAAGGGAGAGAGAGCAGUUAAGCCAGUAAUCUCGCUCCCUAGUGAAAAAUGGGUACUGAAGAUUGGGUUCUUAAAGGUACAAAAUUGGUAACAAAUACAUAAAAGCAAAAAUUUAAAAUCUAGAGUAGAGUUUGGAAUUUCAAGAAUAUGAUGUUAAAGAAAAGAAGAAGGAAAAGAAAGAGAGAAAAAACGAACAAACAAAAACAAACAAGGUCGCAAAAAUUAUAAAGAAAAUAUAGGUACAAAAUUGAUAACUAAUACCAAAAAGCAAAAAAGAAGGAAAAGAAAGAGAGAAAAAACGAACAAACAAAAACAAACAAGGUCGCAAAAAUUAUAAAGAAAAUAUAGGUACAAAAUUGGUAACAAAUACAUAAAAGCAAAAAUUAAAAAUCUAGAGUAGAGUUUGGAAUUUCAAAAAUACGAUGUUAAAGAAAAGAAGAUGGAAAAGAAAGAGAGAAAAAAUGAACAAAAACAAACAA